AUUCAUAAGGGUGAUGACAUGUGUCUGUAUGAGUUGUGCCUCCCUCAAAUCUUGUUGCAAUGUCAGCAUGUUAAGCAUCUGACA
This 84-nucleotide small nucleolar RNA is filed under the name Otolemur garnettii (small-eared galago). RNAcentral describes it as "Small nucleolar RNA U13 (ENSOGAG00000023631.1)". It matches the Rfam family "Small nucleolar RNA U13", at positions 13 to 104 of the family's 104-position model. The record is from RNAcentral. Lineage: Eukaryota; Metazoa; Chordata; Mammalia; Primates; Galagidae.